ACUCCUACGGGAGGCAGCAGUGGGGAAUAUUGCACAAUGGGCGAAAGCCUGAUGCAGCCAUGCCGCGUGUGUGAUGAAGGCCUUAGGGUUGUAAAACACUUUCAUCGGUGAAGAUAAUGACGGUAGCCGAAGAAGAAGCCCCGGCUAACUCCGUGCCAGCAGCCGCGGUAAUACGGAGGGGCAAGCGUUGUUCGGAAUUAGCUGGGCGUAAAGCGCGCGUAGGCGGACUGGUCAGUUGGGGGUGAAAUGCCCGACGGCUUAACCUCGGAACUGCCUUCAAUACUGCCAGUCUUGAGAUCGGAAGAGGUGAGUGGAAUUCCUAGUGUAGAGGUGAAAUUCAUAGAUAUUAGGAAGAACACCAGUGGCGAAGGCGGCUCACUGGUCCGAUACUGACGCUGAGGUGCGAAAGCGUGGGGAGCGAACAGGAUUAGAUA
Molecule: ribosomal RNA, 434 nt
Filed under: uncultured bacterium
Lineage: Bacteria
Description: bacterial SSU rRNA
Rfam family: Bacterial small subunit ribosomal RNA
Source: RNAcentral